UGGCAGGGAAGGGGUAGAGUGGGGCUGAUCUCAUUGUCCUCUCACAGAUGGUGAAGUAGAAAGCUGACUGUGGGGUGUGAACCAUCAUUUAUUCCCAUCAGUAUCAAGUACCUUGCCUCAUUCUUCAGCAACUGAGAUGCCCAACACACUGAAAGGGCAGAGGGAAAAUCCCUCUAGCCAAACAAAUCCUUUGAAGCGUGAGCAUGCCCAUGCCAUCCACUUCUUUUUUCAGACUUCAGGUUGGAGAGCUGAGAAACCUGGUGCCUGAGCAGGCCUCAUUCCCUACAGAGAGGGCCUCUGACCCCCUCAGGCCUCACCCUGUCUGAAUCUACAGACCACAGUGCUUACCUUGUGCCCUGCACUUGCUGCACGAGGUCUUGACUAUAGUAGAGUCAGCUCAUUCAUCAGUGAAGCCCUUAAGAUUGGCACUAUUAGAAAUCCUGAAGCCAUGUGAUUCUACUGUGCCACAUAUUCCGGGUACUUUAGUCAACAUCCUUAAACAUAAAACCCUACAGUCAUCUAACCUCUCUUGGAUGACCAUGCCCACAGUUUCUAUACUUCUCCCUUAUUCCAGUCUUCUGCUGUUGCUUGCCUUCUAUAGUUCCAAUGAAAAUAAACUUCCUUAUUUCCUUAGGCAGUUUUAUAUCCAAAAAUCUUCUGUGUGUCC
RNAcentral lists this long non-coding RNA (667 nucleotides) under Homo sapiens (human). RNAcentral describes it as "HSALNT0114562". The record is from RNAcentral. Lineage: Eukaryota; Metazoa; Chordata; Mammalia; Primates; Hominidae.